RNAcentral lists this long non-coding RNA (1065 nucleotides) under Homo sapiens (human). RNAcentral's name for it is "non-protein coding lnc-GNG2-1:4". The record is from RNAcentral. Lineage: Eukaryota; Metazoa; Chordata; Mammalia; Primates; Hominidae.
CCAGCACCUCCCUGCCCCCUCCCGUAUCAAUAGCAAUGAUGAAGGACUCACGCAGCCAUCUUUUCAGGAGCAUGUGACAGCCUGCAUGACCGGAGCCAAUGGUGAAUGUUUAAAUUCUGGGUCCCGAAGCAAUAUCUUGGGAAGGGCCUUCCUCUGUCCCACAGCUUCUAAAAAUGUUCUGUGCUUAUAGUAUUGGCUCAGUUUUGUGGAUGUGUUUCUGGGAUUAUUCAGUGACCUCAGACAGGCUGCUCCAAGUCUCCCUGGACCACCUGCGUAGUUCAGCCAUAUUCUACAGUGAGCACUUAGAACAGGACAUGCAGGGGCUACACAGGCAUCAAGGCUGGCUGAUUCCACAGAGCAAGAAUGUCAACAAGGAUCCAGCUUAUUUUUGCCUCUUCACCCCACCAUCUUUUAUGUCAGCCUCGUCCUCAGGGAAGUAGGAUGCAACAGUUCCAGCUGGACACGACAAUACUCACAGGAAGACGAAAGAGACUCUUAUUGCUGCUGUAUCGUGGGAACCUUGUCCCCGAUGCCCAUCAGGGUCAACUAUUUACAUGGGAAGGAAAAACAUACCCCGCAACUACAACCUGAUGUCAGUACCAAGAGCAGUAUGCAAACGACUAUUACGGGCGCUCAGAAGCAUCACAAUGGAAGGGAAGUUGCAGCUGCCUAUACCCACACCCACAUCUUGUCUACCUGCCUGCUGCGUCACAGCCUGGCUGCAUUACUGGGCUCACUUCAGUUCCAAGAAAGCUUCCAGAAAUCAUGGCAGGCACACCUGCAGUGAGCAGAUCUGUGUCUACUUGUCCUUUAAGUGGACACCACUUUUCUGUUCAGAGCACAGAUCAAUGUGUCAGACAGAGCUCUUGGAUGACAAUAUUGUCCUGGCAGGGAUCCAGAGCGGCUGGGGAUAGAGAAUAUUAAAUGGGUCUGGUGCAGAACAGUUGAGGUGUGACUGGAUGUGACAGAGGACAGCACCUCUUUGACAAUGACAUUAUGUGAGUUUGGGUGGGCUCUCAGCUCAGGUUUCAGAUGGCCAGGCAUCUGUUGCUGGCCGCCAUUCUG